AACUAUUUGCAUGAGUAAGCACUCAAGGAAUGAAGUGAAUUUUCAAAGCACUCCAAAACAUAGAAAACAACUAUCAGAAGUGUUUGCAACUUUAGAAGAUUAGGACUGAACUGCAUUUCUGCAAUUAUGAACAAACUUAGGAGAAAUCUUUCUUCUUUUUAUCAGCCAGGCAGCAUUGGUGUAUUUGUUCUUAAAACAAUAUGAUGCAUUUAAUUGUCGGAGUUGGUUUGCAAAUUAGAAAUAACAAUAGAAAGUAGGAAGAAGAAUAAUUUCUUUAAAAAAGCUUGUAAAAUCCAUAAAUUAGUCAUAAAGGUAAAUAUUUGAGCAUAAGGAGUUAUGCAGACAUCAACCCGUUCCUACUGAAAGAAAUAAAAGCGGGAAGUGUUCAACUUUA
Dromaius novaehollandiae (emu) is the source of this 394-nucleotide long non-coding RNA. RefSeq lists it as uncharacterized. The transcript is spliced from 2 exons. The record is from RefSeq and is a predicted model, not a curated record. Lineage: Eukaryota; Metazoa; Chordata; Aves; Casuariiformes; Dromaiidae.